GAUUAUGGCUCAGGAUGAACGCUAGCUACAGGCUUAACACAUGCAAGUCGAGGGGCAGCGAGAGGAAAGCUUGCUUCCUUGUCGGCGACCGGCGCACGGGUGAGUAACGCGUAUCCAACCUUCCCCAUAGUAGAGGAUAGCCCGGCGAAAGUCGGAUUAAUACUCUAUGUUGUGUCAUGAGGACAUCUGAAUAACACUAAAGAUUUAUCGCUAUGGGAUGGGGAUGCGUCUGAUUAGCUGUGGCGGGUAACGGCCACCAAGGCGACGAUCAGUAGGGGUUCUGAGAGGAAGGUCCCCCACAUUGGUACUGAGACACGGACCAAACUCCUACGGGAGGCAGCAGUGAGGAAUAUUGGUCAAUGGACGAGAGUCUGAACCAGCCAAGUAGCGUGCAAGGAUGACUGCCCUAUGGGUUGUAAACUGCUUUUAUGCGGGAAUAAAGUCAGGUACGUGUACCUGUUUGUAUGUACCGCAUGAAUAAGGACCGGCUAAUUCCGUGCCAGCAGCGGC
This 510-nucleotide ribosomal RNA is filed under the name uncultured bacterium. RNAcentral's name for it is "bacterial SSU rRNA". It matches the Rfam family "Bacterial small subunit ribosomal RNA", at positions 15 to 518 of the family's 1533-position model. The record is from RNAcentral.